GCCCGUGUGGCCCCGGGAAUAGAGCAUCAGCCUGAGGACUGAAGGGUUGCCGGUUCGAUUCCGGCCAAGGGCU
This 73-nucleotide transfer RNA is filed under the name Myotis lucifugus (little brown bat). It matches the Rfam family "tRNA". From Rfam's summary of the family: Transfer RNA (tRNA) molecules are approximately 80 nucleotides in length. Their secondary structure includes four short double-helical elements and three loops (D, anti-codon, and T loops). Lineage: Eukaryota; Metazoa; Chordata; Mammalia; Chiroptera; Vespertilionidae. The record is from Rfam by way of RNAcentral.